GUGGGGAAUCUUGCGCAAUGGGCGAAAGCCUGACGCAGCCAUGCCGCGUGGAUGAUGAAGGUCUUAGGAUUGUAAAAUCCUUUCACCGGUGAAGAUAAUGACUGUAGCCGGAGAAGAAGCCCCGGCUAACUUCGUGCCAGCAGCCGCGGUAAUACGAAGGGGGCUAGCGUUGCUCGGAAUUACUGGGCGUAAAGGGAGCGUAGGCGGACAUUUAAGUCAGGGGUGAAAUCCCGAGGCUCAACCUCGGAACUGCCUUUGAUACUGGGUGUCUUGAGUGUGAGAGAGGUGAGUGGAACUCCGAGUGUAGAGGUGAAAUUCGUAGAUAUUCGGAAGAACACCAGUGGCGAAGGCGACUCACUGGCCCAAUACUGACGCUGAGGCGCGAAAGCGUGGGGAGCAAACAGGAUUAGAAACCCCGGUAGUCC
Molecule: ribosomal RNA, 425 nt
Filed under: uncultured bacterium
Lineage: Bacteria
Description: partial 16S ribosomal RNA
Rfam family: Bacterial small subunit ribosomal RNA
Source: RNAcentral